GGUGGCUCAGUGGUAGAGUGCUUGCCUCGCAUGCAUGAGGCCGUGGAUUUGAUUCCUCAGCACCA
Molecule: transfer RNA, 65 nt
Filed under: Dipodomys ordii (Ord's kangaroo rat)
Lineage: Eukaryota; Metazoa; Chordata; Mammalia; Rodentia; Heteromyidae
Rfam family: tRNA
About the family: Transfer RNA (tRNA) molecules are approximately 80 nucleotides in length. Their secondary structure includes four short double-helical elements and three loops (D, anti-codon, and T loops). Further hydrogen bonds mediate the characteristic L-shaped molecular structure. tRNAs have two regions of fundamental functional importance: the anti-codon, which is responsible for specific mRNA codon recognition, and the 3' end, to which the tRNAs corresponding amino acid is attached (by aminoacyl-tRNA synthetases). tRNAs cope with the degeneracy of the genetic code in two manners: having more than one tRNA (with a specific anti-codon) for a particular amino acid; and 'wobble' base-pairing, i.e. permitting non-standard base-pairing at the 3rd anti-codon position.
Source: Rfam by way of RNAcentral